CUCAGACAUGGCACAGAGACCCAAAAGUUCAUCUGGAAGAAGAGCAAUGUUCAUAGCAGAAGCUGAUAAUGAAAUUGGCAGUUCUGGCACCAAGAACAGAGAUAACGGAACUUGAAAUGGGGCAGUCUGUGUUAUUGCCUUGGAUUAUCAAGAGUGGUUGACAUUACACAGUGGAGUUUACAGAUCAAAACACCAGGGCAGUUUUUAUUGCUUUUCAGGCUGAGUCAUAGUUACGUAUGGUACACUUUCCAGUAAGAAUUUAUCUUUCAUCCUCACAGACAGUUAACACAUAGGUUACCACUCAUCAAAGAAUUUGGGGUUUCUGUGAACAAAGAUAACUGAAAUGCACUAAACCAAAAUAAUUUGAGGUCUUUUUUUAGUGGGGAAAACAAUGACUGACUGCUGAAGCAGUUACCCUGAUAAAGGAGAAGAAGCAAAUCAAAAUGUAUACUGAAAGUCAUUUCUGAGUCAAAGACUAUAAUCUCAUUCCUGAAAAUGAUAUAAAAAAUAUGAUCUACUUCAUUCUCAUUCACCAACAGAAAGAAGAUUAACAGCAACGUUUCCCAGCAGUCAAAACUAAGCAGAAUCUGGCGCAAGGAAUGUCUGAAAGGAGCAAUUCAGAUCCCAGAACUAGAGAAGAGGCUGAAUCCCAGGGGACUGUCUCCCAGCCGCCUUUGUGGAUGUGCUUUGCUGGAAUCUGUGGGCAUAAUGCUUCAGAUGACCCAUGGUCUCCUGAAAAGAGCUGCUGCAUCCUUGCGAGUUUAACACAUGAGCUGUGGCAUCCAGAAGGGAAUACUGUGAUACUCCAAGAUACCAACUUAACACCAGAUCUGGUACAUGGAGUUUGCACAAUGCUUCUGAAAUACAUACUGAAAAAAGUGGCCAACACAUGAUGUUUUCUGAACUCAGCAUUCUCACCUUGGACAUCCACCAAUACUCGGCAGACAUUGGAGCUGUGAUCUCUCUGGGAACCAUAGUGCUUACACAGAUUCAGUUGCAAGAUUUCUCUCAGCAUCUGAACAUAUGGUUUGCUUGAAAUUUCCUUGCACACCUCCUGUAAAAUAAAACCUACAGCAGCAAUGGUCA
RNAcentral lists this long non-coding RNA (1086 nucleotides) under Coturnix japonica (Japanese quail). RNAcentral's name for it is "lncRNA (ENSCJPG00005008913.1)". The record is from RNAcentral. Lineage: Eukaryota; Metazoa; Chordata; Aves; Galliformes; Phasianidae.